GUGGUACUCCCUCCGUCCAACAAAGGAUGUCUCAACUUUGACUAAAUUUGAAUGCAUCUAUACACUAAGUAAUGUCUAGAUACAUCCAAAUUUUGACAAACUUGAGACAUCUUUUGUUGGACGGAGGGAGUAUUAG
Non-coding RNA from Brachypodium distachyon (stiff brome), 136 nucleotides. The record is from Rfam. Lineage: Eukaryota; Viridiplantae; Streptophyta; Magnoliopsida; Poales; Poaceae.